AGAGUCGAUCCUGGCUCAAGAUGAACGCUAGCGGGAGGCUAAUACAUGCAAGUCGAUAGGUAAGUUAGUUGCUAUGCAACUAACACGAGUGGCGCACGGGUGAGUAACGCGUACGCGACCUGCCCUCAAGAGGGAAAUAGCCCUGGGAAACCGGGAUUAAUGUCCCAUGUGAUUGUAUUUCUAAGGGAUAUAAUUAAAGGAGCGAUCCGCUUGAGGAUGGGCGUGCGUGCUAUUAGCUAGUUGGUGAGGUAAUGGCUCACCAAGGCGACGAUAGCUAGGGGGCGUGAGAGCUGUGACCCCCCACACGGGUACUGAGACACGGACCCGACUCCUACGGGAGGCAGCAGUAAGGAAUAUUGGACAAUGGGGGCAACCCUGAUCCAGCCAUCCCGCGUGCAGGAAGACGGUCCUAUGGGUUGUAAACUGCUUUUAUUAGGGAAGAAUAGCAUCAAUGAAUUGGUGUAUGACGGUACCUAGAGAAUAAGCACCGGCUAACUCCGUGCCAGCAGCCGCGGUAAUACGGAGGGUGCAAGCGUUAUCCGGAAUCACUGGGUUUAAAGGGUGCGUAGGUGGAAUAAUAAGUCAGGCGUGAAAGGUUACAGCUUAACUGUAGACUUGCGUUUGAUACUGUUAUUCUUGAAUUAAGAUGAGGUUGGCAGAAUGCGACAUGUAGCGGUGAAAUGCAUAGAUAUGUCGUAGAAUACCGAUUGCGAAGGCAGCCAACCGGACUUAAAUUGACACUGAGGCACGAAAGCGUGGGGAGCGAACCAGGAUUAGAUACCCUGGUAGUCCACGCCCUAAACGAUGUUCACUCGAUGUUGGG
Molecule: ribosomal RNA, 823 nt
Filed under: uncultured organism
Description: bacterial SSU rRNA
Rfam family: Bacterial small subunit ribosomal RNA
Source: RNAcentral